Molecule: long non-coding RNA, 266 nt
Organism: Penaeus indicus
Lineage: Eukaryota; Metazoa; Arthropoda; Malacostraca; Decapoda; Penaeidae
Exons: 2
Source: RefSeq, a predicted model, not a curated record
UGUGUGUGUGUGUGUGUGUGUGUGUGUGUGUGUGUGUGUGUGUGUGUGUGUGUGUGUGUGAAUAUAUAUGUGUGCAUAUAUAUGUGUAUAUAUAUAUAUUUAACCAGUUUUCAAUUUUACCAGGUAUUAUUUUUGGUAUGUUUUAUUUAAGAUUGCCCCUUUUUUUAAGUGUAUUUGUGCUGUACUUUUAUGUCUUUUGGAGGUUUUCUUUUAUCUCCUUCCUUGUUACUGUUUUGAUUUUAUUAAUAAUAAUGGUAUGGAGUUUU